Molecule: ribosomal RNA, 627 nt
Filed under: Bacillus sp. (in: firmicutes)
Lineage: Bacteria; Bacillati; Bacillota; Bacilli; Caryophanales; Bacillaceae
Description: bacterial SSU rRNA
Rfam family: Bacterial small subunit ribosomal RNA
Source: RNAcentral
AUACAUGCAGUCGAGCGGACAGAAGGGAGCUUGCUCCCGGAUGUUAGCGGCGGACGGGUGAGUAACACGUGGGUAACCUGCCUGUAAGACUGGGAUAACUCCGGGAAACCGGAGCUAAUACCGGAUAGUUCCUUGAACCGCAUGGUUCAAGGAUGAAAGACGGUUUCGGCUGUCACUUGCAGAUGGACCCGCGGCGCAUUAGCUAGUUGGUGAGGUAACGGCUCACCAAGGCGACGAUGCGUAGCCGACCUGAGAGGGUGAUCGGCCACACUGGGACUGAGACACGGCCCAGACUCCUACGGGAGGCAGCAGUAGGGAAUCUUCCGCAAUGGACGAAAGUCUGACGGAGCAACGCCGCGUGAGUGAUGAAGGUUUUCGGAUCGUAAAGCUCUGUUGUUAGGGAAGAACAAGUGCAAGAGUAACUGCUUGCACCUUGACGGUACCUAACCAGAAAGCCACGGCUAACUACGUGCCAGCAGCCGCGGUAAUACGUAGGUGGCAAGCGUUGUCCGGAAUUAUUGGGCGUAAAGGGCUCGCAGGCGGUUUCUUAAGUCUGAUGUGAAAGCCCCCGGCUCAACCGGGGAGGGUCAUUGGAAACUGGGAAACUUGAGUGCAGAAGAGGAGAGU